RNAcentral lists this ribosomal RNA (254 nucleotides) under uncultured bacterium. Its description in RNAcentral is "partial 16S ribosomal RNA". It matches the Rfam family "Bacterial small subunit ribosomal RNA", at positions 524 to 776 of the family's 1533-position model. The record is from RNAcentral.
UACAGAGGUCCCGAGCGUUGUUCGGAUUCACUGGGCGUAAAGGGCGCGUAGGUGGCUUGGCAAGUUUGGCGUGAAAUCUCCGGGCUUAACCCGGAAAUGGCGUUGAAUACUGUUUGAGCUGGAGGUUUGGAGGGGGGACUGGAAUUCUUGGUGUAGCAGUGAAAUGCGUAGAUAUCAAGAGGAACACCAGUGGCGAAGGCGAGUCCCUGGACAACACCUGACACUGAGGCGCGAAAGCUGGGGGAGCAAACAGG